Long non-coding RNA from Haliotis rufescens (red abalone), 1844 nucleotides. RefSeq lists it as uncharacterized. Lineage: Eukaryota; Metazoa; Mollusca; Gastropoda; Lepetellida; Haliotidae. The record is from RefSeq and is a predicted model, not a curated record. The transcript has 2 exons.
GCCACAGCUACUCUACACACAGCCACACCUUCUCUACACACAACCACACCUACUCUACACACAGCCACACCUACUCUACUUCAGCCACACCUACUCUACACACAGCCACACCUACUCUACACACAGCCACACCUACUCUACACACAGCCACAGCUACUCUACACACAGCCACACCUACUCUACACACAGCCACAGCUACUCUACACACAGCCACAGCUACUCUACACACCGCCGCAUCUACUCUACAACAGCCACAUCUACUCUACACACAACCACAUCUACUCUACACACAACCACACCUACUCUACUUAAGCCACACCUACUCUACUUAAGCCACAUCUACUCUACACACAGCCACAGCUACUCUACACACAGCCACACCUACUCUACACACAACCACACCUACUCUACACACAGCCACACCUACUCUACUUAAGCCACAUCUACUCUACACAGAGCCACACCUACUCUACACAGAGCCACACCUACUCUACACACAGCCACAUCUACUCUACACACAGCCACAUCUACUCUACACACAGCCACAUCUACACUACACACCACCGCAUCUACUGGUAAAUAUGUAAGGUCUGCUAUCAUGGGUUUUAAUGGUAAAUAUGUAAGGUCUGCUAUCAUUGGUAUUAAUGGUAAAUAUGUAAGGUCUGCUAUCAUGGGUUUUAAUGGUAAAUAUGUAAGGUCUGCUAUAAUGGGUUUUAAUGGUAAAUAUGUAAGGUCUGCUAUCAUUGGUAUUAAUGGUAAAUAUGUAAGGUCUGCUAUAAUGGGUUUUAAUGGUAAAUAUGUAAGGUCUGCUAUCAUGGGUUUUAUUGGUAAAUCUGUAAGGUCUUCUAUACACACCCUUGUUCAUGGGUUUUAAUGGUAAAUAUAUAAGGUCUUCUACACACACCCUUGUUCAUGCGUUUUAAUGGUAAAUAUGUAAGGUCUGCUAUCAUGGGUUUUAAUGGUAAAUAUGUAAGGUCUUCUACACACACCCUUGUUCAUGGGUUUUAAUGGUAAAUCGGUAAGGUCUUCUAUACACACCCUUGUUCAUGGGUUUUAAUGGUAAAUCUGUAAGGUCUGCUAUCAUGGGUUUUAAUGGUAAAUCUGUAAGGUCUUCUAUACACACCCUUGUUCAUGCGUUUUAAUGGUAAAUCUGUAAGGUCUUCUAUACACACCCUUGUUCAUGCGUUUUAAUGGUAAAUCUGUAAGGUCUUCUAUACACACCCUUGUUCAUGCGUUUUAAUGGUAAAUCUGUAAGGUCUUCUACACACACCCUUGUUCAUGGGUUUUAAUGGUAAAUCUGUAAGGUCUUCUAUCAUGGGUUUUAAUGGUAAAUAUGUAAGGUCUGCUAUCAUGGGUUUUAAUGGUAAAUCUGUAAGGUCUUCUAUACACACCCUUGUUCAUGGGUUUUAAUGGUAAAUCUGUAAGGUCUGCUAUCAUGGGUUUUAAUGGUAAAUCUGUAAGGUCUGCUAUCAUGGGUUUUAAUGGUAAAUCUGUAAGGUCUGCUAUCAUGGGUUUUAAUGGUAAAUCUGUAAGGUCUGCAUGGGAAGGCAUGAAGACAAGAAGUAUUCUUUAGUGUACUGAAAGUUAGAUGUGGUAGAUUUUAUUGUUAAACAGGGUAGUACAUAUUUCUUUCAUAUUCAGUUUUAUUUGAAGUGGUUAGAAUUGCAUGUUCAGAAAAUGUUUAUCAUUUUGAGGUCUAAGAACAUAUCAUUAAAUAUGUUUGAUUUAUCAAGUGGGGCUAUUUUGACUGUCUUUGUUGUUGUCAUUGUCAUUUGUGUUUAUAUUUAUUAAGUUGUUAAUAAAAUCAUUGCAUCCCAAUCAGAAUAAAAUUGUUAAUUGUCUUU